CCAUUGCUUUCCAGCUGGGAUAUAGCUCACUUUUUAAUUUCCUAUGGUGGAGUAUUAACUUGUCAAAAAAGAUAUGCAGGGGGGACCUGAUGUGGACAUCUCGUGAAUCAAGUGCUGCAUCCCUGGACAGAUCAAUGGUUCUCUACAUUUUGUUGUUGUUCUGUGGAUGGUGUAGUAAGAGAGAGAUUUCCCCUGUGCGUCUUGUCUACACUGCGUCCCAGCUUCCUAUCUUCAAGUGGUUUUAUAUGUUUGUUAUAUCAAUUUGAUUACUACACAACUGAAUCAAGAUCUCAUUGUUAACUAUACAAUAGUCACUGUGGCUGGAUCUUAAUGUUACUACAGAUAUUCCCAUUGAGCCUUAGGGAUUCUCUACCAUUAUGACCUGAAUUUUAUAGUUUAAAAAUAUCUAAUUUUGUAUGUUUAUGCGUGAGACUCAUUGCAGAUAGAGGGCCAGAUCAUUAGUCACAGUUGUGCUGUGCUUUGGCAGAGGCCCCAGGAGUGGAGGGAGGAGAUAGUGGCUGCAAGCUAUCUUUUCUUCUUGCCUAAUCCUGAACCUGGCUAUUGGCUGAAAUGGCCCCUAGUGCAAUUUAAAAUGUCCAAAGGGCUACUUUAAAUUACAGUAUCUAAGACGUUUCUAUUGUGACCACUCUGCCCACUGGUAAUUUCCAGAGUUCAUUGCACUCUAGCUAUGGCCUAACAUGACCCUUAUGCCUAAGCAGGUACUAUGAGGUUGGCUACUCCAGCUUUACACCACUGGUGAUUCUUCCCCUACUAGCAGGGGAGUCCCAGACUGAUUGCUUAGGGUAGUUCUCCAUUUCCACUACAUCACUGGAGCAAUACCAAGCAGGAGAUGAGGUUUGUAGGCAAGGCGGAGUUGUCUGCUAAUCUUCCUAUUUAAACUCUCUAUUAUUAUGAAUCUGAUCACAAGAGAAAAGACCCAGCCUAUGACAUCUUUAUGGGACAAUGAUGACAAAAAUCUACACUCUGAUCUCUCCUUUUCCAGCCCAGGAAGGCUAUACUAGUGGUGGGAAACUGAGGUAGCUGCCAUGUCUACACAACAGAGAGAGGUAAGGUCCAAAGAACUUCAUUGAGAGUAAUCACCCAUCUGUAGCUGUAGUGGGCAGAAUCAGAUUCAAAGCUGAUUGGAUGGCUGAUGUGGGGCUAAUCCCCAUCUUGUGAAGACCUGCUCAGUUUUGUCCUGCCUCCAAUAGCUACUGGUAGGUCAGUAGAACCCAGGACCUACUGCAAGAGAGAGAAGGAAAGAAAAAGUUUGAAGAGUCAGUUUGUUUAUUGCCUGGAGUUGCCACAACAUCUGCCACCCAACCCAGCUGCCAGGAGGAUGGCAGAGAAGGGCCCAAAGAAGAGGAGUCCAAGGCUGUGUUGCCCCUGCUCUGUAUCCCCUACCAAAGGGUGCAAAAGGAAAGGUUUGUGCCUUGUGCACUCCAGCUUCCUUUCAGCCUCAGGGACUGGAAAGGAUUCGCUUUGCUCCCCCUACCUUCCCAGGAGUUCCCCACAGAUAGAGCAAGGACCAUUUCAGGUUACUGGCUCAGCUGCUUCCAGUGUAACAUGGCUGGGCAGGCCUGUCUGGCAGAACAUCUCACAGAAAAUCAGAGGAAUAGAGAAGUUGACAGAAAAUGACGCACAAAUGUCUGGGCUAACUCAGACCCCACUUGUGCUGUGGUCAGCCAUGCCACCGCUGCCAGGUUAACAGAACACAGCUUGUGCUGCAGGUUGGCCAGUACUCAGAAAACACACUGAGGAGCUGUGGACCUUGCCCUGAGAAAGAAUGGCAGAAUUUGUGGCUGUUUACCUGAAAAAGUUCCUCUUUCAAAGGCAUAGGUAAAAUAUCUGGCCCUCUCUGACAAUCCAGUAAGGGAGGUGUGUUUAACUCCUGAUUAAAGUGAUCAGCAGUAGCUUAAAAUUUCUUGUUUGUUGCCAAGGUGUUUGUUUUUAUUCGCAAGGUGCUGAUGCAAGACGAGUUUUGGUUUUUGUUUCAUAGACCAGAUUCCAGAGGGGGUAGGGGCUAGAUUUAGAAGCACCUCAAAACUAAGUGUGUGUGGGGGGGGGGUCUCAAAAGGUGGGGGGCUAGUCCCUCAUCAGCCAUUCAAUCAGCUUUGAUUCUGUCCUCUACAGGUUCAGCUCCAUACAGAGGAUCUGAGGAACUAUUCUUUUGAAGAAGAGAAACAUUUUCACAAGUAAUUACAUAAAAAGGAGAGUGGGAGAGUUUAUCUGCCAUUCAGUAGCCAUACAUUUUUUGUAAGAGACUUAACCUUCAGGUCUAAGUUGGACAGAAAAAUUAGAGGGGCUGUGAUGCUGUAUGAUUGAAAUAUGAACAGGUAUAACAUUGUUACUACCACUGUUACACAAUUGCAACAAAUCUUAUACGAAGUUUGUCAUGUAAAGUAUUUAAUGGAAAAGUUACAAUCUAUCAAAUAUGAUUAUCCUGUUUAUAUGCAUAUAUCAUUUUUGUAUCUAAAGUUUUAUGAAUAUUGACUAUGUAGCAGCAUUUCAAAUGUCUGUUCCUGCGGUAACAACAAAUAACAUCUACAUUGAAGCCAGACCAGCUUUGUGUUGAUGGCCCAUCAGAGGCAAUUAACUCUCAUAAUGGGCCACAGAAGAAACUCAUUCCACCCAGAUGGCUCUUCCUGCAGAUGCCUUCGCCUCCAAGUAGCUAAUGGCUUGCCCCUGUGAGACAGCAAACCCUGUAAGGGCAAGUGAUCCUGGACUCCAUCUUGUGCCUGUACUUUUCCACAAGCUGUGCUGUGGGCUUUGUUUGGGACAGUAAAAAGAAAAGGAGUACUUGUAGCACCUUAGAGACAGACUAACAAAUUCCAUCCAUAUGGCAGAGGGUAUAAAAGACUCUGGAAACAUCUCCACUUUGUUUUCAUUUCUUUGGACUGGAUUUCUAACCAGGAAGCACUAAAUAAGGACUGAUGACCCCCAAGCUAUUUGGGUAAUUUCCAGAGACUUUUGCAAACUAGUAGUUUAUUCUAUUGCUCCUCCAAACCUAAUACAAGAACUUUUUCAGUCACUUGUAAGUAUAUGAUUUCCUUAACCAUUUCAACUUUUUUUCUUUUCUCUUGUAAACAAAUAGCACGAUUAUUGGAUAAGAUCUGAGUUAUAUAUUGACCUGGCUAUGAAGCUUAUCUCCUUGGGAUCAAAAGAACUCUUUGAUUAAAUUGGUUUUCAAUAACUACUCAUCAUAAAGCUUAGAGUCUGGGUGGUGAAAUAAGUGCUGGAAUGCCUAAGGAGACGCAUUUUUUACUUCUUGUCUCACCACACUGGUUAACAAGCUUAUUUUUAUUAUUGGUUUGGUAUAUAUUCUGAUGACUAACCACCAGUUUGGGAUGAGUGUGCCCCAUUUCUCAGCAGUUUGUCCUGAAUCUGGUAUUCUCAGCUGUGACCGCCUGCCAGUUUGGGGGGCAUUAUAAUAAUUUGCAUAAUAUGCUACACUUUGUUGUCUCACAAUGAAUAGAAUAUCAGACUUGUUCAAAUGUGUGCAAUUAUGCAGCAGCUUAUUGAGGAUGUGUUGCAACUGGGUUAUUGUUGAAUACUGUAGAAACCCACAACACAAUGUUAAUGCUCCAUAGUUAAGUCAGUAAAUGCAGAAGUUAGGUUUUGUAUUCUAAUCUCUUACAAUUAUGACUUAUGAUAGUCUGCAUUAUCAUGCCGUUAGAUAACCCUGGAUAUAUAAAAUUAUGCUGUAUUACUUCAGAAGCAGUGUGAGCACUUAAUUCAAGAUUGUGUUGAAAUGUAUAUGUAGCAGAGACACAGUUAAGGUUGUCCUUUCUAUCUUUAACUUUCAAGUUUCCUGACUUUUGAGUCCUUAACCGUGUAACUUUAACAUGGGAAGGUUGUGGGAGGAAAAAUAGCCUACCUGCCAUUCUUUUCUUUAGGAUUUUUUGGGGAGGGAGGGGAUAAUGUAGAAUUUCUUUAACUAAGUGAUUGAUAAAUAUUUGAGUUGAUUAUGUGAAUGCACUGACAGUUUAUGUUCAGUUGCAGAAUCUGGAGUGCUGCUUGAAUUCAGCUGGCAGCUAUUUUAUUAAAUUUUUCAGGAUCUUUCAGGACCAUUUGAAUAUAAUAUGCAGAUUGUCGAAGCUUUUUGUUUUUUCUGAACAUUUUGUGAUAUUUUCUUGUCAAAAAAAUCAAACAGCUUCUUGUAAUAUUUUUCAGUAGAAUUGUGGAUGCUUAUCAGGGCAGAAUUUAACCUUUUCUUAUUAGGUGUAACAUGCAGAGUCCACAAAAUCCCAUUGAUUGCAGCAGGAUCUUGUAUAGCAAGGUUUCCAUUGUGAAUAGUUCUACUGACAAUUGUAUGCAGCUGAAUAGUUUGUCAAAAUUGUCUUGUAUGGUUGUAACUAAGAGUACUGGCCCCUUUAAGAGCAAAUGCUGCCUGCCUGCCUGCCUGCCUAUUACUCACCCUCUAUGGCCUGGCAAAUAGGAGCAUCUGAUCAAGACAGCCAUAUAACUGGAGUGGCAGGACUAUACAAAGAGCAGAUUGUGGCUGGAAGAGCCCAGAGCAGUUGUGGGGUCUCAUUAAAGAGAACUGGGCAAACCUCAAAUAGGUGGGGCUGUGGGAAAGGCUUGUUAAUGAAGAGGCAAGAACUUGUUCUGGGGAGGGGUUAAUUAGGGGACAGAAGAGGGCUGGGUUGAAACAGUAGUGGUGUGGAAUUAGGCAGAGUUGGCACCUGUGUGUUUUGUUUACAGAAUUCAGCCUUGGGAUUGCAGUGAGGGAAUCCUUCCUUUCUCCUUCUGCAUUAACAGGGGAGAGGACUGUUUAUCCUUGAGAGAGGGUACAAGGAGUAUUAUUCUGUGUAUCCUUUGGACUAGUUUUGUUUGCCCUGAAAGGGGAGGGCUUUAUAAUUUUGGCUGAAGGGGGAACUGAUCUACCACAAAAGAAAUUGAAGCAUGGAUGCAAUUUGAUAGAGGAAAGGUAAGAGAUCUGAAAUGGGGCAUAGUAUUGUUUCAGACAAGUCCUAUGAUGCAUUUUAAUUUCUGAUAACAUCAGGUGUUAUCCUUGUCAGAUGGAAAGCUUCAAGAGUUACUGACACUUGUGGUGACUUGCAUGUGAAAGC
This is a long non-coding RNA of Dermochelys coriacea (leatherback sea turtle), 5072 nucleotides long. RefSeq lists it as uncharacterized. The transcript has 3 exons. The record is from RefSeq and is a predicted model, not a curated record. NCBI's taxonomy places the organism in Eukaryota, Metazoa, Chordata, Testudines, Dermochelyidae.